Molecule: ribosomal RNA, 492 nt
Filed under: uncultured bacterium
Lineage: Bacteria
Description: partial 16S ribosomal RNA
Rfam family: Bacterial small subunit ribosomal RNA
Source: RNAcentral
AGUGAACGCUGGCGGUAGGCCUAACACAUGCAAGUCGAACGGCAGCACAGUAAGAGCUUGCUCUUACGGGUGGCGAGUGGCGGACGGGUGAGGAAUACAUCGGAAUCUACUUUUUCGUGGGGGAUAACGUAGGGAAACUUACGCUCAUACCGCAUACGACCUACGGGUGAAAGCAGGGGAUCUUCGGACCUUGCGCGAUUGAAUGAGCCGAUGUCGGAUUAGCUAGUUGGCGGGGUAAAGGCACACCAAGGCGACGAUCCGUAGCUGGUCUGAGGGGAUGAUCAGCCACACUGGAACUGAGACACGGUCCAGACUCCUACGGGAGGCAGCAGUGGGGAAUAGUGGACAAGGGGCGGAAGCCUGAUCCAGCCAUACCGCGUGGGGGAAGAAGGCCUUCGGGUUGUAAAGCCCUUUUGUUGGGAAAGAAAAGCAGCAGGUUCAUACUCCGGUGUUCUGACGGUACCCAAAGAAUAAGCACCGGCUAACUUCGUG